AAAAGCUCGUAGUUGAACCUUGGGCCUGGCUGGCCGGUCCGCCUCACCGCGUGUACUGGUCCGGCCGGGCCUUUCCUUCUGGGGAACCUCAUGCCCUUCACUGGGCGUGUUGGGGAACCAGGACUUUUACUUUGAAAAAAUUAGAGUGUUCAAAGCAGGCCUUUGCUCGAAUACAUUAGCAUGGAAUAAUAGAAUAGGACGUGUGGUUCUAUUUUGUUGGUUUCUAGGACCGCCGUAAUGAUUAAUAGGGAUAGCCGGGGGCAUUUGUAUUCAAUGGCAAGGGGUGAAAUCCUUGGAUUCAUUGAAGACAAACUUCUGCGAAAGCAUUUGCCAAGGAGAUCUUCAUAAAUCAAGAACGAAGGUGAGGAGGUCGAAAACGAGUAGAUACGGUGGUAGUCUUCACAGUAAACUAGGCAGAGGAGGGAGCGAGCG
RNAcentral lists this ribosomal RNA (432 nucleotides) under Eucommia ulmoides. RNAcentral's name for it is "SSU rRNA". It matches the Rfam family "Eukaryotic small subunit ribosomal RNA", at positions 622 to 1059 of the family's 1831-position model. The record is from RNAcentral. Lineage: Eukaryota; Viridiplantae; Streptophyta; Magnoliopsida; Garryales; Eucommiaceae.